ACCCAGCUGAAGAGUUCCAAAUAGGACGAAACGACUGUUCUGAAU
Molecule: non-coding RNA, 45 nt
Filed under: Schistosoma mansoni
Lineage: Eukaryota; Metazoa; Platyhelminthes; Trematoda; Strigeidida; Schistosomatidae
Source: RNAcentral